This 256-nucleotide ribosomal RNA is filed under the name uncultured bacterium. RNAcentral's name for it is "partial 16S ribosomal RNA". It matches the Rfam family "Bacterial small subunit ribosomal RNA", at positions 524 to 776 of the family's 1533-position model. The record is from RNAcentral.
UACAGAGGUCUCAAGCGUUGUUCGGAUUCAUUGGGCGUAAAGGGUGCGUAGGUGGCGCCGUAAGUCAGGUGUGAAAUUUCGGAGCUUAACUCCGAAACUGCAUUUGAUACUGCGGUGCUUUGAGGACUGGAGAGGAGACUGGAAUUUACGGUGUAGCAGUGAAAUGCGUAGAGAUCGUAAGGAAGACCAGUGGCGAAGGCGGGUCUCUGGACAGUUCCUGACACUGAGGCAACGAAGGCCCAGGGGAGCAAACGGG